This 377-nucleotide unclassified non-coding RNA is filed under the name fungal sp. Its description in RNAcentral is "partial internal transcribed spacer region". The record is from RNAcentral. Lineage: Eukaryota; Fungi.
AAGUCGUAACAAGGUUUCCGUAGCGGAAGGAUCAUUAACACGUAUCCAAACGUUAAAACCCCCCCCGUGAACUUUCAUCCUGCUCUUGUAACCCGCGUAGUUCGCAAUCUCUGAUAAAUCAUAGCCCGGAAAGUUGUAGUGAUUCAGAGACCUCGGGCCUACGUGCGAACAUUGGAACAGUUACAAUCGAGCUCGGAAAGUGUCAUUGAUUGUGCAAGGAUAGCGCUUCUACGAUUCCUGUAGACCGUACACUCGGGCAGGAGCUUUGCCAAAGGGUCCCCAUGCCCCCUAAUAACCCCACAGUUUAAUGUGAAGCUCAAUGAAAUACAUUGGGUAAAAACACCGAACAACUGUUAACAAUGGAUAUCUUGGUUCUC